RNAcentral lists this ribosomal RNA (422 nucleotides) under uncultured prokaryote. RNAcentral describes it as "bacterial SSU rRNA". It matches the Rfam family "Bacterial small subunit ribosomal RNA", at positions 355 to 774 of the family's 1533-position model. The record is from RNAcentral.
UGCGGAAUAUUGGACAAUGGGCGCAAGCCUGAUCCAGCCAUGCCGCGUGCAGGAUGACGGUCCUAUGGAUUGUAAACUGCUUUUGCACAGGAAGAAACAUCCCGACGUGUCGGGACUUGACGGUACUGUGAGAAUAAGGAUCGGCUAACUCCGUGCCAGCAGCCGCGGUAAUACGGAGGAUCCAAGCGUUAUCCGGAAUCAUUGGGUUUAAAGGGUCCGUAGGCGGCCUUAUAAGUCAGUGGUGAAAUCUCCCGGCUCAACCGGGAAAUGGCCAUUGAUACGGUAGGGCGUGAAUUAUUAGGAAGUAACUAGAAUAUGUAGUGUAGCGGUGAAAUGCUUAGAGAUUACAUGGAAUACCAAUUGCGAAGGCAGGUUACUACUAAUGGAUUGACGCUGAUGGACGAAAGCGUGGGUAGCGAACA